RNAcentral lists this ribosomal RNA (202 nucleotides) under uncultured bacterium. RNAcentral's name for it is "partial 16S ribosomal RNA". It matches the Rfam family "Bacterial small subunit ribosomal RNA", at positions 336 to 554 of the family's 1533-position model. The record is from RNAcentral.
CUCCUACGGGAGGCAGCAGUGGGGAAUAUUGGACAAUGGGGGAAACCCUGAUGCAGCGACGCCGCGUGGGUGAAGAAGUAUUUCGGUAUGUAAAGCUCUAUCAGCAGGGAAGAAAAUGACGGUACCUGACUAAGAAGCACCGGCUAAAUACGUGCCAGCAGCCGCGGUAAUAACGUAUGGUGCAAGCGUUAUCCGGAUUUAC